Long non-coding RNA from Rosa rugosa (rugosa rose), 2637 nucleotides. RefSeq lists it as uncharacterized. NCBI's taxonomy places the organism in Eukaryota, Viridiplantae, Streptophyta, Magnoliopsida, Rosales, Rosaceae. The transcript is spliced from 3 exons. The record is from RefSeq and is a predicted model, not a curated record.
CCCACCUCCUCUCCCCAUUCCUCCAUCUCCACCCUCAGAUUAACACCAAUACCCAAUCCCAACCCAUCUUCUAUUCAGUCAUAAAAAAAAACCCAUCUCCGAUUCCACUCUCUCUGACCUCCAAAUCCUCUUCGUCUCUAAGCUCGGCAAGCUCAUCAAAUCCGGUGAGUCCCGACGUCAAAACAAACCAAGGACCAAGCAUCCCUCUCUCUCUCUCUCUCUCUCUCUCUCUCCUUCUCUCUUUCACUCUGGAAAGCUCGACUUCCGGCCAUCGACUUUUGGCACAGCCACCACCACCACCAAAAGAUAGCCUAGUUCUAGUUUUGAUUUGGCUAUCAGAUAAUCUCUCUCUCUUCUUUAUCAGAUUUCAAAACCAAAAUGAAGAAGGAGCCCUCGUCAAAAUUACAAAACCUAAACUGAAGUCGCCAUCUCUCUCUCUCUCUCUCUCUCUCUCUGGCACGGGCCCUCUCCCUCUCAGCCUCUCUCCUCGACGGUUCGAUUUCUUUUACAACAAAAAGAAUGACUAGAGCUUUUGGGAACCCAUUAAUCUUACACAAGUUAAUUGAGGCUAUCCAGUUCAAAAGAUAAAGAAGCUCAAGAGCUCUGGUUUUGUUAACUGGUACUUGAGAGAGGGGAUUGUGGUGUUUAAACAACAAUUUUGCCUAGCUUUGUACUAUUUCUGAAUAUCUCAAAAAUUUCAGCAUUAUAUUUGUAUCGGUAUGUUCAUGAAAUUAUGGUCAUGGGUUAUUACAAUCUGUUGAGAGAUUGUGUUCUUUUGUUAAAAGUCUUUCUACUAAAGGUUUUCUCAAAUAUUGCCUUAAAGUGGAUUGGUGGCGGGGGCUGUCUCAUGCUCUGUAACUCAUUCAUGGGUUGUUAGUCUUCAUAAGAUGACAAGUUAGAACCCCUUGGCAAAGCUAGGGAAAUACUUAAAUUUGCAAGAGCUCAAGUAUGGAAGCAGGCUCCCAAUUUCAAACAUCCAUUGGUUUACAUUGAUGUUGUUGAAGAAGCUAUUGCAGGAAGCUGAAGAAUUUGAAUGACUUCUACGUGCUGACACAUGCAAGAGCUUGGUGCACAUCUUCUUUGCUCAAUGUGGAACAUCAAAGGUUUGACAAUUAGCUUCUAAUUAGUCAUAUUCUUUUGUAAAUCUCUCUGUACAUGUAGUUUUGGCAUAUUAAUGGUAUGAUAACCGUUACUAGUUCAUUGUCAUUAUUUGAUAGCCUAAGAAAAGGUGACACUACCACACUCUAAAUUGAAAACUGUUUUUAGCCUCAAGAAUCUGGACCACCCUUUCUCUAACACACUUGUUGAGUUAAAGGUGAGGUUUACUGUCCUUUAAUAUUAAAGCUUGUACUUAGUAUCUUAUUUUGAGCUGUGUUAAAGCUUUAUCUUUGGUAUUUGGUAGUUCUGUUCCUUCUAGAACCUCUAUCUUUCUUGAAAUUCUAAUUGACUAUGAUUGUUAGUAUUCUUUAUUUCUGUGGCAGAAUGAUGGCUAAGUAGUCAGAUUUCAAUUUUGGGGUCCAACCAAUUUUGUGGUCAAAGUCUUUUAGUUAUAUCUCUUCUCAAUAUGUUCGAGCAAUAUAUGAGCUAUGAAGCAAGUUCUAUUUGCACAAAGGAAGAGAUUUCUUAUUUGUAACAGAACUGUGAUCAAACUCUUUGAUUGACAACCAAUAUGUUGCUCUAAUGUCAGAGUGGUUCAUGAUUAAAAUGUAAAUUUCUGUUAGCACUAUUGGACUCUUCUUCACUGCAGUUGCGCUUCAUUUUAGGUGUGCUACUCAUGGUGGGUUCUAUCUAGUUUGAUCAUGAUUGAUAGAGUUCAUUGGAUCAAUAAGGAAAAGCUUGCCAAGUUCAUUGGAUCAAUAAGGAAAAGCUUGCCAAGUUCAUUUUAGACUGUCUGAUUUUACAUAACCUAUUUGUACAUUUGGAAUAUUCUUGAGGAGUUUCCAAAGUGAAAUUUUAAUUGUGACUGAAUUUUUAUGAGUUGUGGUUAAUUAUUAAAAAUUGCAGGACAUUGAAAAUGGAGGAAGACAGACCAGAUGAUGCAUGUGAUGCCUACCAUACAUACUUUAGUGUAGCAGGUAUAAUAGUAAAUGCCCAGUUGGAGCCUCUGCUUUUACAUAAGAUGCAUAUAACAUGAAAUGUUUACAUAAGAAGAUUUAAAUUCCACAUGUACUUUUCCUUCUAUAAGUAUCUCUUGGCAAGAUGAGAUUGGAUCUAAGCAAAAGAAUAACUUCCCAUAUAUAUCUAACAUGUCAGGGUUGUGUAGAAUUUAACUAUUUAUCUUUGGUAUUUGCUGUUUGUAUGCCGCUGUUUUCAUCACAUAACUGAGGUUGAUGCUUUUUGAUGCAAGGCUUUCCCUCCAUGAAUAUCUAGUGGUGUAACCCACAAAUCCAGCUUAUGCUUUGCCAGUUGAUGUUGUAAAUAUGAUUAUCUUAGCAGGCAUAAAGGAGUAAAGGCUUAAAGCUGUUGGUGCAUUGUUUUCACUUAUUUGUGAGGUGUAGGCAGGGUUAAUGUGCAUCACAUUUAUGGACAAGUAUAAGUUUAUGGUUAGUGUUUUAUGGUUAGGGUUAAUGUUGGGAUGGAAUGACUUUGUUGAAUAUAUGGAUUAAUGUAUCAGAUCUUUACAUAAAUGAAUCUCUU